This 412-nucleotide ribosomal RNA is filed under the name uncultured microorganism. RNAcentral's name for it is "bacterial SSU rRNA". It matches the Rfam family "Archaeal small subunit ribosomal RNA", at positions 459 to 872 of the family's 1478-position model. The record is from RNAcentral.
CAGCCGCCGCGGUAAUACCGGCCCCGCGAGUGGUCGGGGUGUUUAUUGGGCCUAAAGCGUCCGUAGCCGGCCCGGUAAGUCCCUCCUUAAAGCCCACGGCUCAACCGUGGGAGCGGAGGGAUACUGCCGGGCUAGGGGGCGGGAGAGGCCGGGGGUACUCCUGGGGUAGGGGCGAAAUCCUAUAAUCCCAGGAGGACCACCAGUAGCGAAGGCGCCCGGCUAGCACGCGCCCGACGGUGAGGGACGAAAGCUGGGGGAGCAAAGGGGAUUAGAUACCCCCGUAGUCCCAGCUGUAAACGAUGCAGGCUAGGUGUUAGGCGGGCUUCGUGCCCGCCUAGUGCCGUAGGGAAGCCGUUAAGCCUGCCGCCUGGGGAGUACGGCCGCAAGGCUGAAACUUAAAGGAAUUGGCGGG